GGGGUUGUGGCUCAGGGAUGGAGCGCUCGUCUAGCAAAUGUGAGGCCCUGGGUUCAAUCCUCAGCACCACA
RNAcentral lists this transfer RNA (71 nucleotides) under Marmota monax (woodchuck). RNAcentral describes it as "tRNA.Ala". It matches the Rfam family "tRNA". Rfam says of the family: Transfer RNA (tRNA) molecules are approximately 80 nucleotides in length. Lineage: Eukaryota; Metazoa; Chordata; Mammalia; Rodentia; Sciuridae. The record is from RNAcentral.